GACGAACCGUGCGAACGUUGUUCGGAAUCACUGGGCUUAAAGGGCGCGUAGGCGGGCUGCCAAGUCCGUAGGUGAAAUCCCCCGGCUCAACCGGGGAACGGCCUCGGAUACUGGCGGCCUCGAGGGGGGUAGGGGCGUGCGGAACUGUGGGUGGAGCGGUGAAAUGCGUUGAGAUCCACAGGAACUCCGGUGGCGAAGGCGGCACGCUGGACCCUUUCUGACGCUGAGGCGCGAAAGCCGGGGGAGCGAACGGG
RNAcentral lists this ribosomal RNA (254 nucleotides) under uncultured bacterium. RNAcentral's name for it is "partial 16S ribosomal RNA". It matches the Rfam family "Bacterial small subunit ribosomal RNA", at positions 524 to 776 of the family's 1533-position model. The record is from RNAcentral.